RNAcentral lists this ribosomal RNA (254 nucleotides) under uncultured bacterium. RNAcentral describes it as "partial 16S ribosomal RNA". It matches the Rfam family "Bacterial small subunit ribosomal RNA", at positions 524 to 776 of the family's 1533-position model. The record is from RNAcentral.
UACAGAGGGUGCAAGCGUUGUCCGGAAUCACUGGGCGUAAAGGGCGCGUAGGCGGCCCGAUAAGUAGGGGGUGAAAUCUUGCGGCUCAACCGCAAGGCUGCCUUCUAGACUGUCGGGCUUGAGCACAGUAGAGGCAGGUGGAAUUCCCGGUGUAGCGGUGGAAUGCGUAGAGAUCGGGAAGAACAUCGGUGGCGAAGGCGGCCUGCUGGGCUGUUGCUGACGCUGAGGCGCGACAGCGUGGGGGAGCAAACAGG